This 465-nucleotide ribosomal RNA is filed under the name uncultured bacterium. RNAcentral's name for it is "partial 16S ribosomal RNA". It matches the Rfam family "Bacterial small subunit ribosomal RNA", at positions 28 to 507 of the family's 1533-position model. The record is from RNAcentral.
GACGAACGCUGGCGGCGUGCUUAACACAUGCAAGUCGAACGGAAAGGCCCCAGCUUGCUGGGGUACUCGAGUGGCGAACGGGUGAGUAACACGUGGGUGAUCUGCCCUGCACUCUGGGAUAAGCCUGGGAAACUGGGUCUAAUACCGGAUAGGACCGUGCUUUAGUGUGUGCGGUGGAAAGUUUUUCGGUGCAGGAUGAGCCCGCGGCCUAUCAGCUUGUUAGUGGGGUAAUGGCCUACCAAGGCGGCGACGGGUAGCCGGCCUGAGAGGGUGUACGGCCACAUUGGGACUGAGACACGGCCCAGACUCCUACGGGAGGCAGCAGUGGGGAAUAUUGCACAAUGGGCGCAAGCCUGAUGCAGCGACGCCGCGUGGGGGAUGACGGCCUUCGGGUUGUAAACCCCUUUCGGCAGGGACGAAGCUUUUGUGACGGUACCUGCAUAAGAAGCACCGGCUAACUACGUG